UGUAAGCGUAUACCAAAGUUGUUGCAGUUAAAACGCUCGUAGUCGGACUUUGGCAGUUCCGGAUGUGUGCACGUCGUGUGCGCACUUCGCGGGGAUUGCUUUUGUGGUCUUGCGUAGGAUGAGGCACUUUUAUUAGUGAACGUCCUCACGCAACCACUUUUUACUGUGAGAAAAUCAGAGUGCUCAAAGCAGGCAUUUGCCGUGAAUGUAUUAGCAUGGAAUAAUAGAAUAGGACUUGGUUCUAUUUUGUUGGUUUGUUGGGACUGAGUAAUGAUUAAGAGGGACAGUUGGGGGCAUUUGUAUUUCGGUGCUAGAGGUGAAGUUCUUAGAUUACCGAAAGACAAACUGCUGCGAAAGCGUCUGCCAAGGAUGUUUUCAUUGA
Molecule: ribosomal RNA, 382 nt
Filed under: uncultured eukaryote
Lineage: Eukaryota
Description: partial 18S ribosomal RNA
Rfam family: Eukaryotic small subunit ribosomal RNA
Source: RNAcentral